Molecule: ribosomal RNA, 429 nt
Filed under: Acidobacteriota bacterium
Lineage: Bacteria; Pseudomonadati; Acidobacteriota
Description: Acidobacteria bacterium partial 16S ribosomal RNA
Rfam family: Bacterial small subunit ribosomal RNA
Source: RNAcentral
UGGGGAAUUUUGGACAAUGGGGGAAACCCUGAUCCAGCCAUCCCGCGUGUGCGAUGAAGGCCUUCGGGUUGUAAAGCACUUUUGGCAGGAAAGAAACGUCAUGGGUUAAUACCCCGUGAAACUGACGGUACCUGCAGAAUAAGCACCGGCUAACUACGUGCCAGCAGCCGCGGUAAUACGUAGGGUGCAAGCGUUAAUCUGAAUUACUGGGCGUAAAGCGUGCGCAGGCGGUUCGGAAAGAAAGAUGUGAAAUCCCAGAGCUCAACUUUGGAACUGCAUUUUUAACUACCGGGCUAGAAUGUGUCAGAGGGAGGUGGAAUUCCGCGUGUAGCAGUGAAAUGCGUAGAUAUGCGGAGGAACACCGAUGGCGAAGGCAGCCUCCUGGGAUAACACUGACGCUCAUGCACGAAAGCGUGGGGAGCAAACAGG